Molecule: ribosomal RNA, 253 nt
Filed under: uncultured bacterium
Lineage: Bacteria
Description: partial 16S ribosomal RNA
Rfam family: Bacterial small subunit ribosomal RNA
Source: RNAcentral
UACAGAGGGGGCGAGCGUUGUUCGGAAUUACUGGGCGUAAAGGGCGCGUAAGCGGCCUGCUAAGUCGGACGUGAAAUCCCUCGGCUCAACCGGGGAACUGCGUCCGAUACUGGUUGGCUUGAAUUCGGGAGAGGGAUGCGGAAUUCCAGGUGUAGCGGUGAAAUGCGUAGAUAUCUGGAGGAACACCGGUGGCGAAGGCGGCAUCCUGGACCGAGAUUGACGCUGAUGCGCGAAAGCCAGGGGAGCAAACGGG